GCCAAAGUGGUGGAAUUGGUAGACACGCUGGAUUCAAAAUCCAGUGCUAGCAAUAGCGUGAGGGUUCGAGUCCCUCCUUUGGUA
This 84-nucleotide transfer RNA is filed under the name Saprospiraceae bacterium. RNAcentral describes it as "tRNA-Leu". It matches the Rfam family "tRNA". Rfam says of the family: Transfer RNA (tRNA) molecules are approximately 80 nucleotides in length. The record is from RNAcentral. Lineage: Bacteria; Pseudomonadati; Bacteroidota; Saprospiria; Saprospirales; Saprospiraceae.